GCACCAAACACAGGAUUUGAUCCGUAACCAUAUCAGAUCAAGCUAUAUGCUGUUAUAUUAUUUUUUUUCUAUUAAAGGUAAAAAUAAAGCUGCUGUGCCACAGAGUUUUCUCUGGAAUACCAAUGAGGAAAAAGUGAAACAACAUCAACAAAGAGUCUGCAUCUAAUUACAUGUCAAACUGGUGACUUAAGUUUUUGUUUUGGCAGAUUUUCCCAGUUCAGCUCCUGCCCAGGACCGUCUGAGAGUUCAGACUAAUCAAAGGCACUUGUAUGGAGCUGUGUUGGACUCUGAAGGGACUGAGCCAGUUCAGGCCAGCCUGCUGCUCCUUCUCUCCUCUUUUUUCCCUCUCCCUCUCACUCUCCCUUCCUGUCCUGACUGUUUAAGGAGAGAAAGAUUUAGAAAUUCCUUCAAGCUACUUUACUUCAGGUUUCUGUGGGAUUUAAACAUGCACACUACGGUUUUAGUGCAGUCUGUUUUAGUGCCGUUGCUUCUGAUCCUGCUCUCUACCAUCGAGGACACUUUGUUACAGUCAGUAAGCCAGGUGGGUCUUGUGUGCAAGCUGUCCUCGGAGUCUUCGCUACGCCGCUGCCGUACACCCGAUGGUAAAAUAUGCAGUGGAAGGGGUAAAUGUGACUGUGGCAUCUGCGUCUGUGAAGCCAAAGAGCCAGGGAAGUUCUAUGGUCCACGCUGCGAGUGCCACGACUGGGUGUGUCCCACACACAAUGGACAAAUUUGCAACGAUCGUGGUUACUGUGACUGUGGGACAUGUGAAUGUGACGAGGGCUGGUUUGGAGGGACGUGCCAGUUUCAGGAGGAGUGCAGAGUGUCGGGAAAGAAGAGCAGGGAGCUCUGCAAAAACCAGCAAGGGGUGGUUUGCUCCAACAGAGGAACCUGCAACUGUGGAAGCUGCAUGUGUGACAACGAUGACGGCAAGAGUUUGGUGACGGGGCGCUUCUGUGAGUGUGAUGACAGUGAGUGUCUGGACGAGGACAUAGGAGAGGUUUGUGGAGGCCAUGGCCAGUGUUACUGUGGAAACUGUUACUGUGCUGCUGGUUGGCAUGGAGACAAAUGUGAGUUCCAAUGUGACAUCAGCCCAUGGGAAAGCAAGCGAAGAUGCACAUCCCCAGAUGGCAAAAUCUGCAGCAACAGAGGGACCUGCGUUUGUGGGGAGUGCACCUGCUAUGAUGUAGACCCUUCUGGGGACUGGGGGGACAUCCAUGGAGACACGUGUGAGUGCGAUGAGAGGAACUGCCAUGCAACGUACGACCGAUACACAGAUGACUUCUGCUCAGGUCAUGGGCAGUGUAAUUGUGGAAGGUGUGACUGCCAGGAAGGCUGGACAGGGAAGAAGUGUGAUCAUCCUAUGAGUUGUUUGCAAUCAUUGGAGAGCAGUCUGAAGAAAUGCAGAGGAGCGUCUAAUUUGCCCUGCUAUGGACGAGAUAAACGGCUUCUGGGAUUUGAGGGGCGACUCGACCUGCUUGAGGUUCUACAUCAGGAGUUCCAGAACCUCCGAACAUCUCUGGACUUCAGCCAGGAGCAGGUUGAGCGGCUCGCUGCUGAGAACACAUCUCUGCGGGAGUGCGUUUCUUCCCUGGAAGAGGGAGUGAAGCGGAUCACCCAGGACAACAAGAUUCUCAAAGAGACGGUUUUGGACCUUCAGGCCCGUAGCAUGAGGGAUAAUUGGGUGUUCACAGGCCUGCCGGAGCAGACGGGAAGGGCAGAGAACUGCGAGCAAACAAUCAAGAACUUUCUCCAGACCGAAAUGAAGAUACCUGAAGAAACUGUACAAAAGAUCACCUUUCACCGGGUGCAUUGUCUUGGAGCUAGAAGAGUGGACAGCAGAAGAUCUCAUCCCAUUGUGGCUAAAUUUGAACAUUUUAAACAGAAGGAUCUUGCUAAAAGCCACGGAAGAGAGCUCAAAGGAAAAUACUACAGCGUAAAUGACCAGUUUCCUAAGGAAAUCCUGGAUCGGCGCUGAGUCCUCUUACCGCUGCGCAAAAAGUUUAUCCAGGAUGGGAAGAGGGCUGUCAUCUCAGUGGAUAAGCUUUAUGUGGACAGCAAACUUUAUAAGGAGCGAGGAGUGACAGACUGGUUGUAUUUGCCCAACAUCAGGUCAAUGCUUGUGUGGACAUUGUAGUUGCCACCCACCAGACAGUCGAGUUUAUGGGAAAAACUGUGAGUGUGAUGAUCGUCAGUGUGAGGAUAUAACUGGAGAUGUCUGUGGAG
This is an RNA transcript of Nothobranchius furzeri (turquoise killifish), 2226 nucleotides long. It is a transcript of the gene named integrin, beta-like 1, with no coding region annotated. Lineage: Eukaryota; Metazoa; Chordata; Actinopteri; Cyprinodontiformes; Nothobranchiidae. The record is from RefSeq and is a predicted model, not a curated record.